UAGUCUGCAACUCGACUACAUGAAGCUGGAAUCGCUAGUAAUCGCAAAUCAGCAUGUUGCGGUGAAUCCGUUCCCGGGUCUUGUACACACCGCCCGUCACACCAUGGGAGUCGGAAAUGCCCGAAGUCGGUGACCUAACUGAAAGGAAGGAGCCGCCGAAGGCAGGUCUGGUGACUGGGUGAAGUCGUAACAAGGUAGC
This 199-nucleotide ribosomal RNA is filed under the name uncultured bacterium. RNAcentral describes it as "partial 16S ribosomal RNA". It matches the Rfam family "Bacterial small subunit ribosomal RNA", at positions 1301 to 1500 of the family's 1533-position model. The record is from RNAcentral.